Molecule: RNA transcript, 1552 nt
Organism: Bombus pyrosoma
Lineage: Eukaryota; Metazoa; Arthropoda; Insecta; Hymenoptera; Apidae
Exons: 3
Source: RefSeq, a predicted model, not a curated record
GCAUCCAUUAUUUCCUCGUAAAAGGAAAGACACUUUUCGCGAAAGGAAAUACGACCUAAUAAUUAUGAAUUUCAUUCGUUACUUGUUACGCAAACGUAUUUAUCGAUAACAUUAUAAUAUUUAUUCAGUAAUGGUAACUGACAAUUUUGACGCUAUUUUUCUUAUUAAUUACACACUUUAUACGCUAUACUAAUCGCUAAAUUUCCGACAUUGUUCGAACCACCUCGCACAUACGUGUCGGAAGGAUUCGUCGACGAAAUAUAACGUAAUGGUAAUGUAAAAUGGUAACUUGUAAAAUUUUGGUUGAAUCACGCGAGACAGUCUUGAUGGGACUAUCAACAAUUUCCAGUACGAGCAAGGAAACCUCGUUGACAUUGUUUGGAUUUUAAUCUACAAAUUCGUAAGAGACACGUGCGUGUGCGUAUGUGUUGUAGUAUUGAACGUUCGUUUCAUUCCGAUUCAUAAUAAUUAAGCACAUGGCGCCCAAGUUUAUGGCACACGGAUCCACUUAGUGUUUACAAAUUUUCACGGUAUAGCUACGUAGAUAGAUAGCUAGAGUACAAAAGUGUCGACAAAAUGCUCGUCGUAUGUAUCGGAACGUCUAUUUAUCGAGCUGAUAUCUAUUUUGGGAAAAAUUGCAUCUUCGAAUAACGCGGUGAAAAGCGAUGAUAUAAUUAACAACGGACCGGUAGUAGCAAAGAACAUUUCGAAACGUCUUGACUAGACCGCGAACGUUUAUACGUACGUUUAAGGAAAAUUUGCAGAUCCAACAGCGCGCGGAAUGUACAUAGUCGUGGUGCAAAAAUAUACAAAUAAUACUCAUAUCGUUUUUUUUAGCUGUGUUCGUGCAAAUUUUAGUCUACGUAAAUAGUGUGCAGUCUGAAAUUGACUGUCGGAUGUUUCGAGUUACGGUUUUCACUAUGGGAAAAGCUGGCGAAAUAUAUCGCGGAGAAAAUUGCCAAACAGUUUUGGUUGACGUAGAAACACGUAAUCGCGUAAAUUAUUUACAGAGCAAAACGAAAAAAAAAGAUGAGAUACGAAGAAGAAUGCUGAAAAGUCGAGGAGCUGCAAGGCUUCAGUCGGCUUCGAUAAAUAAACUCUUUCUCUUUCAACCUGGAAUCAGCCGAAAUCGAGUUCCCGAAAUUCAUCCUUACGUACAUAUGUAAAAAUGAUAAACCCGGGGACCAAAACUCUACGAUUCUGCAUUUCUUGCCCCUCUAUUCUUAGACUACUAAACUCCCACACGGUUAUUUAAUAUCCCAGACACGUACUAUUUACCGAUGCUUUACACAAUUUGACAAUUCUAUCGUAUAACAGGUUCGCAAGACAAUGCAUACUUGAAAUUGUUUUCGAAUAUAAUUUAGGCUGAUAUAUUUAUCGACUCGCGGUUACUUCCGCCAUAUUAAAACUUAUCUUUCCUCGACUGAAAAUUUAAUUUCUUCUAAAUACCUCUUAAUUUUUACCUUUUAAUUUAAUUUAAAUAUCGUACUAGUUAAUUGUUACAUUUCGAUUUUCUAUUAUUUAGCGUCGGAAUUAAGGUGUAUCGGUAGGC